GGAGGUUAUGAAAAUGAAAGGUUACAAGAAUAAUGAUUAUAAAGGUGGAGAUUAUAUAUGGAGGUUAUGGUUAUUUUCAUAAUGGAGGAAAGUAAUGUAGUAACUUCUUGGUGUAGUGGACAUCCACACUAUAUUAUUUUAUAACACUCCCUUGGAUGUCCAUAGAUAAUAUGCCUCGUUAAAACCUUACUAGGAAAAAAUCCUAUGGCAAAAAAUCUCAGUGAAGGAAAAAGAGUACACAUAUCUUUUAAUACGCUUGAAUGUUGCCUCGUUAAAAACCUUACUAGGAAAACCCAUUUGGGACAAAAUCAUGGUUAAGGAAAAGAGUACAACGCGUAUUUUUCUUUCCCUGAUAAA
RNAcentral lists this long non-coding RNA (357 nucleotides) under Solanum tuberosum (potato). Its description in RNAcentral is "long non-coding RNA (STUB_LNC003942)". The record is from RNAcentral. Lineage: Eukaryota; Viridiplantae; Streptophyta; Magnoliopsida; Solanales; Solanaceae.